Molecule: ribosomal RNA, 253 nt
Filed under: uncultured bacterium
Lineage: Bacteria
Description: partial 16S ribosomal RNA
Rfam family: Bacterial small subunit ribosomal RNA
Source: RNAcentral
UACGAAGGGGGCUAGCGUUGCUCGGAAUCACUGGGCGUAAAGGGUGCGUAGGCGGGUCUUUAAGUCAGGGGUGAAAUUCUGGAGCUCAACUCCAGAACUGCCUUUGAUACUGAGGAUCUUGAGUACGGGAGAGGUGAGUGGAACUGCGAGUGUAGAGGUGAAAUUCGUAGAUAUUCGCAAGAACACCAGUGGCGAAGGCGGCUCACUGGCCCGUAACUGACGCUGAGGCACGAAAGCGUGGGGAGCAAACAGG